CGAAGAGCCUCUGGUUCGUCACGUGGGUUCUGGCCUCUGAGGCAUCCUCCACCUCUCCGUAAGCGCAACCAGGAAGGGAGGAGGGAAAUGUGGCAGCAUCCCGGGUCACCGCUGGCUCCCCUGCCUAGGUUCACACUGUGGACAGAAUCCAGCCUUCUCCAAAGAAGAUGCCCAGAACCAACCUUUCUGGUUCCAGACUGGUUCCCUGACCUCCCCAUCCUCUUCCCAUACUAAAUGCUGUGGAGACUCUCCUCCCACAGGCCCUGCUUGCACCCCUCCGUCAUUGUGAGGAUGAAUUGUCUGACUGAGAGACAGCAUGGGGCCAAAGAGGAUUGUUGAGUUCCCCAGUUCUCCCACCCCCAUAACCAAUCAUGAAGCCUUCAAUUCUAUGAUAUUGGUUAUCCUGUCUGUUCCUUGCUCUGCACAUUAAUAGAGGCAAUCCCCUGACUCAUUUUACUUAAAAGCAGCAUUCCCCUGCUUAUCUUCCUUGAAGAAUUGCCUCAGUUUACUCUUUGGUUAAAUUUCACUCCCAACACCUGCAAAUGUGAGCUUCACAAUAUUGGACAGAACAGCAGAUGUCCACUAAUGAAGAGGAGUCUGAAAUAUUUUUAGAAAGAAAACUGGAAGGGAAGAGGUCAUUUGCUUCUUGAAGACCCAGAGCAGCAGAAAGCAGGAGUGAAUACCUGAAGCCAGCAGUGGCAGCAGAGGAACAUCAGAGAGAGCAGAAAACGUUUCCUUUAAAAACUAUAGCUGAAGAAAGGGAGGAAUAGGGAAAGCCCUUAGGGCUAGAAGUGAAGACAAAGAGAGGGGAUCAUGGGGAGAAUCUUGUGGCAUUACAUCUGCUCCAGGAGGAUGCUUCUUGUAUUGGACUUCACAGGACCACAGGGGAAAGGAGGUAUAUACAGAGAAGGCGGUGAUGUACCCAGGGAAUCUCAAGGAUCAGCAAUGUUCUACUCCAUUCCCUCUAUGUUCAGCACUUGUUCUGCCCCAGGCCCUGUACCAAGCUCUGGGCAUUCCCCAACAGGCAAAAAACAAUCCUUGUCCUCAAGGAGCUUACAAUCAAGUGGCAGAAGGAGACAUACCAACAAAAAUGGACACCCAGCAAGCUCUGUCUAGGAGACAUGGAGAAGAAUUAAAAGAAUGAUGGCACUCUAAUUAAGAGGGAUGAGGAAAGCUUUUCCUGUAGAACCUUUUUAGUUGGGACAUACAGGAAGUUCAAAGCAGACAGUGUGCCUAACUGUGGAGGAAAAAUAUUCCAGGCAUGAGGUAAAGCCAUCAAAAAUCCCUGAAGUUAGAGGCAGCCAGAUCCCAUAGUGGACAGAGUGCCAGAUCUGGAGGCAGGAGGACCUGGGUUCAAAUGUGACCUGAGACACUUCCUACCUACAUGAUCUUGGGCAUCUUAACUUAGCCCUAAUUACCUAGCUCUUGUCGUCCUAUCUUAGAAUUGAUUAAAAAAUGGAAGAUCUGGGUUAACAAUAAACAACUUUUCCAUUUGGGGGCAGUUAGGUGACUGUGAAUAGAGAACUAGAACUAGAAAUAGGAGGCUCUGGGUUCAAAUCUGUACUCAGAUACUUUCUACCUACUUGACCUUCAGUAACACACUCAUCUCCAACUGCCUACCUCUAGCCCAUUUGCAACAGAUGAUGAGCAUCAAUUCUAAGAUAGAAGGUAAAGUGAUUUUUUUUUAAGUUUGGGGGAUUAACAUAUAAGAAGAUUGGAAAGAAGGACUUUGAACACCAAGCAGAAUGUUUUGCAUAUGAUACUGGAGAGAAUAAGGAGCCACAGGGGUAUAUGGGGUAGAGAGGAGUGAUACAAUCAGAACUGCACUGUAGGAAAAUCACUAGUGGCUGAUUGGAGGACACCUUGGAGUGGGGAGAGCCUUGUGGUGGACAGAGCCAGCAGCAGACUGUAUAUAGUUCAGGAGGGUGGUGAUGCGGGACUCCAGCAGACAGAUGGCAGUGACACGGGACAGAAGGGGAGUAUUGGAGAGAUGUUCCAAAGGAGAAAGUGAAGGUGCCAUAUUGGAUAUGUAGGUAGGGGACAGAGAGGAGUCAAGGGGGGCUCCUAGGACAAGGAGUAUACAGCUAUAGAGAAGGUGGGAGUUCUGUCUAGGUGAGAGAGAACAAUGUCUGCUUUGGACACACACAGAGCUCAAGAUGUCUGCUGUUCAUCUAGUGUGAAAUCCAUGUAAGGAAAGGAGAGAUGGAAGACUGGAGGUCAGCCUAGACAAUGUAGAUCUGAGCCUCAUCAGCAGAGAUGGUGAUGGCAUCCCUGGUAGCUAAUGGGAUCACCAAGUAAAGAUGUCUCGAGGGAGAAUAGUAGAUAACAAAAGACAAGGCUGGAGGAGCUCCCCCACCCUCACCCUAACCCUGCUGCUACCAGAUCUAAAGGACGAGCCAGAAGAGACAGAGAAUCAGAAGUUAGAGAAGUAGGAGCUAAACCAGGAGGGAGAGAGGGCCAUGUCCUAAAAACCAAGAGAGAAGAGAAUAUCUAGGAGGAAAGAGGGGGCCAAAAGCAUCAAAGGCUGCAGACAGGAAUGAGACAAGGAGGUGGUCUCUGUCUCAGAAACAGAAGGGCAGAUCCACCACUCAGAAUAUCUUUCCAACUAAUCACUACAAACUGUCUCAAAAGGACAAAAAUCAAAAUCAGACAAGUGAAGGGGCUCUCCCACAGGGUAAAGUUUUAAAGGUAGUCAGUGUUUGGGGGCAGAACUACAGUUACCAAACUGUGAGUUGAUCACCUUUCCCCCAUACCAGCUAUCCCCUGAGGACAGUGCAAGACCUUGGCAUAAAAACUUGGGACCUGAGACUGAAGAAACUGAGCCUGGGCAGCAGACCUCAGAGACUGGACAAAAUCAGGGCUAGCCACAGCAGAGGCAGCAGAGCCUGGAAAAAUAGCCUCAGGGCAAACCCCAUUUAAAGUUGGCUAAAGGAAGAACUGCCUGGAAGAGACUACCAACAAAAGCCCUGGGAGACAGAAGCUGAGAAAGCAAUGCCCACCAACAUGCAGGAAACACGAUCCAAGAGUAGCAAAAGAAAUAAGUUGCAACAACAAAAAAACAAAACAAAAACUUUUGACCCUGGAUAAUUUCAAUGGAGAAAAAGUGCAAAAUACAGAAGCAACAGCAGAGAGUAACAAACAAACAAACACAUUCAAACUUUCCAAAAAAAUACAAAUUGGUCACAAGCUCUUGUGACCAAAAAGGAGUUCAAGAACCAAAUAAAAAAGAAGAAAAGUGGGAAAAAGUAAAGAAAGUGAUUCAAAAAGAAAAUAACAGCUUAAAAGGCAAAAUUGCCCAUAUGAAAAAACAGGCACAGAAAUGAAAUUAAAUAAUAAGCAAAUUGGAGACCAGAACUGACUUGUUAGAAGCCCUGAAAAGCAGGAUAAAUGAAACUGAAAAGGAAAAUUGAAAGAUCAUACCUGAGAGUCUCUAAAAAGCAGAUACAUGUGGUCCAAUUUCUCAGCCAGUCAGGGCUAGGUUCAAAUAAUAUAAUCAGCUUUCUCCAAAUCCUCCCAAUUUAAUAAAUGUUACUCACAAACCAGAAUUUGGACAAGACACACAACUGAACAGAAGAGAACCUAGCCAGUUCCAGAACUGAGGUCACAAGAUGGGGAGCGUUUCCAAUAUUCACCCCUUCCUGCUCCAAACCCUUCAUGUCCCUCACGAGGGAAUCAGCUCAGUAGAUGCCACAAGGUCGGGCUGUCCUGGCUUCCUCACCACCUUACAGGAAAUGCUGAAGCCAUACUUUAUGGGAAUGCUGGGAAUACAGAUUUUCUGGAAACAGCAGUGGGGAAAUGCUGAAAUCAUGCUUUGUGAGAAUACCAGGAAUUGAGAUUAUGUGGAAAUGGCAGCCAUAUCAGCGUCAGCAUCUCUCCUCAGAGAGAUGGGGCUCCAAACUCUAGUCCACAGAAGUUUCUCCAGUCAAACCUCAGAGAAGACAUUUCCAGUUGAACAGAAUUCUACAAGAUCUAUGAUAAAGAAUAUUCCACGUUCAGGAGAAAAACUGGUAGUAGGAACAAUGAAGAAAAACAACUGCUUGAUUACAUGGGUUGAGGGGGAUAUGAUUUGGGAUAUGGACUCUAAAUGAACAUCCUAGUGCAAACAUCAACAACAUGGAAAUAGGUUCUGAUCAAGAACUUAUGUAAUACCCAGUGUAAUUGUGCACAGGAGGGGGAGGGGGGAGGGGGAGGGGAGGGAGGGAAAGAAUAAGAUUCUUGUAACCAAGCAAUAAUGUUCUAAAUUGACUAACUAAAUUUUUAAAAAAUUAAAAAACUGCUCCCUGCCAAGUGCCACAUUCCCUUGGAUGGCAGACUCAGGCACCAGGAAGAGGGCUCCUUACCCACAGCGAGCAGGUUCCAGGCAUUCUCCAGCAUCACCUCCCUGUAUAGCUCCUCCUGGGCUCCCAGGUGAAGUCCACAGCCACAUCCUUGAAGGUCACCACCUCCUAGAGCAGCCCAAGUCAGAACACAGAGGGCUGAAAGCUACAUCAUAAUGAAGAGCCCACCUCUGGUCAGUUACAGGAGGAAACUGACACAGAGAAGGGAGGGGCCCAAAGGUCCCACCCUUGGUCAGACUCAGAGUCAGCACUAGAAGUUGAGUCUUUAAGAACCCAAUGGAGGUUUGAGAAAAGCAGCUCAAGGAUACUCCAGAACAAUGCUUGUGUGAAGGAAUAUGUCUAAGGGACUUCCAUUGUAAAUUUGAUCCCAAGGGCCCCAGCAAUGGGAUGAAGGUGUCACAGAGUCAGUUUCUGCUGCCUUGCCCUGGAGAGUCAGUGUGAGAGUCCCUAGCAUCAAUGUGCCACAGCUAGGCAGGGAGGAGCUGGGGCAUGUAAAAGGCAAUAUAGAGAAAGAAAAUUUUUUACCUCUCCACUGGAACUAAAUAGCUCUCUGGGCUAAGGGUUUCUCUUUGAGCUUUCCUUCUCACUUGAUCUCUUGCAAACCCAGUCUGACUGAGUGGAAUGGGGAAAGAGAUCUAGAAAGGUUGAGAUCUCUCUCUCUCUCUCUCUCUCUCUCUCUCUCUCUCUCUCUCUCUCUCUCUCUCUCUCUCUCUCUCUCUCUCUCUCUCUCUCUCUUCUCUCUCUCUCUCUCUCUCUCUCUCUCUCUCCCUCCCUCUCUUCCCAUUUUGAAAUUCUCUGUCUUGACUAAUAAAUACUUAUAAAUCUUAUUGUAAGCUUCCAGAUCAAUUUUUCAUUAAAACACUAUGGAAUGGAGAUGUGAUGAGUAGAGCUGAUGAAUGGAGAAAACCUAUAUAUAAGGAGAAGCCCGAAAGAGAUUCACACAUUCUUGGAUGGAUUCUUGGCAUCUGCUGAGGGAGGACUUUUACAUUGGUGUCUCUGCAUUCCAUUCUGCUGCCUUGGUGACUUGCUGAAAGAAAACCUCAGCGUUGAAGGCACUACUUCUGGGAGAGUCUGGGUUGGUGACUGUGGCUUAAGAAACUCUCAUGGACUUCCACCUGGAGAUUGGAACCUGGAGGUUGAGACUCUUUCACUAUUCUGAUUGGAGAUCUAGACCUGAAGGAAAUUUUGUCGGAGUUGAGCUGGAUUUCUUUGGAUCCACAGUUAUCGGAAAUAAUCUCAUAGCAGACUUCCGGGUAAACAUGGUGGCAGUCUAGAUGCAAGACUCUUCCUCUCCUCAGCACCACUUAUAUAGACUACCUCAAAAGACCCAAAAAACCAAAUUUAUAAGAACAAAGGGACUCUACAGUAGGGUACAGCAUUGAAGGUAUGUGGGAUCUGGGCAUUUCCACACUAUAAGGGGGAGAAAAAAUUCCCACCCCAAAGUGAGCUGAUCUACCCUCCCCCACCACACCUCCAGAGCCAGAGUCAGAGCCAUCACGUGCCAGAAUCAGUGAGUGAGGGGCACCUCUAGAUCCUUAGGAGCUGACUAAGACCACCAAAGACCUAUCCCUGAGAGCAGCUACACCUGAAAUCCCAGCAUGAUGAGCCCAGACAGUGGGCUCUGGUGGGAAAAUAGCACAGAUAAGGGCAGCAAAUAAGCUUGCCUCAGGCAAAAUACUGGUUCCUUGACUCCAUACACAGAGAGCCUGCCCAUCUCAUUCAGAUUUCUGACUAAAAAGGGAAGGAAAACCCCCCACAGUGAUGGCAAAUCAGGAGCAACAACCUCCCUCCACCAAGAAAAACAAAAAGAAAGCAUUGACCCUGGAAAAAAUUUAUGGAGGAAAAACCCAGGCUACAGAGGAAAUGAAGGAGGAAAUUCAAAUAAAGCCAAAGCCUUCCCAAAAAAUGGAAAUUGUCCACAAGCUGUUGAAGAAUUUAAAUUAGAGCUUAUCAAAAAUUUGGAAACCUGGCAAGAAAAGUGGGAGAUAGUUCAAAGAGAAAAUAAUAGUUUAAAGGACAAAAACUCCCAAUUGGAGAAGUAGCUGGAAGCCACGAAAAGCAGAAUAGACCAAACUGAAAAGGAAAACCAGUUUUUUAAGACCAGAAUUAGGCAGCUGGAAGACAAUGCUCUUGCAAAACAAGAAUUAAUAAAGCAAAGUCAAAAGACUGACAAAAUAGAAGAAAAUAUAAAAUAUCUCACUGAGAAGACAAAUCAGGAAAACAGCAUGAAGAAACAAUUUGAGAAUCAUUGGUCUACCUGAAAAGCCAGAAAUAAACAGAAAUCUUGACAUCAUACUGUAAGAAAUCAUCCAAGAAAACUGCCCUGAUAUUCUUGAACAAGGGGGCAAAAUAGACAUUGAAAGAGUUCAUAGAACACCCUCUAUACUAUAUUCCUCAAAAGACAACCCCCAGGAAGAAGAAAGGACAGAACUACUAGAGGAUAUCAAAAUGCUGGGGAAUACACAAGUGACAAAGUCACAAGUGACUUUGAACUUGAAUGGGAUGAACUCACCCAUAAAACAAAAAGAAAUAGGAGAUUGGAUUAGAAUACAAAAUCCUACCAUAUGUUGUCUACAAGAAACACACCUGAGGUGGGUAGAUACAAGGUUAGAAUUAAAGGUUGGAGCAAAAACUAUUGGGACUCAACUGAUAGGAAGAAGGCAGGGGUUGUAAUCAUUAUAUCUGACAAGGCCAAAGUAAAAUUAGAUCUGAUUAAAAGGGAUAGGGAAGGUUAAUAUAUUCUGAUAAAAGGGAGUAUAGACAAUGAGGAAAUAUCAGUAAUCAACAUGUAUGCACCAAAUGGUAUAGCAUCCAGAUUUCUAAAGGAGAAACUAGUGGAAUUGAAGGAGGAAAUAGAUAGUAAAACUAUACUAGUGGGAGACCUGAACCUACCACUAUCAAAUUUAGAUAAAAAAAAAAGAGCUAAAAGAUGUGAAUGAAAUCUUGGAAAAAUUAGAAUUAAUAGAUAUAUGGAGAAAAAUAAAUAGGGACAAAAAGGAAUACACCUUUUCAGCAGCACAUGGUACAUUCACAAAGAUUGAUCAUGUACUAGGUCAUAAAAACUUGGCAAACAUAAAAAAAUGGCAAACAAAUGCAGAAAAACAGAAAUAAUAAAUGCAACCUUUUCAGAUCAUAAUGCAAUAAAAAUAAUGAUCAGUAAGGGUACAUAGCCAAAUCAAAAA
Molecule: long non-coding RNA, 7519 nt
Organism: Monodelphis domestica (gray short-tailed opossum)
Lineage: Eukaryota; Metazoa; Chordata; Mammalia; Didelphimorphia; Didelphidae
Source: RefSeq, a predicted model, not a curated record